UUUUAAAUAUCAAAUAUCAAAUUUACAAUUUUAGAUUUCAAAUAUUAGAUUUUAUAUUUUAAAUUUUAAAAUUCAAAAUUUGAAUAUAGAAUGUAAAAUUUAAAAUUUAGGAACUGAAAUCUAAAGUUAAAAUAUGUAAAAUUGAAAAUUUUAGUUUUAGUAAUUAAGAUAAAAAUAUAAAAUUUUUAAAUUGUAAGUUUUAAAUUUUAAAUUUCAAAUUGCAAUAUUUUAAAUAUUAAAUUAUAAAUUGAAUUUAAAAAUUUUAAAUCUUAAAUUUUGAAUAUUUUAAAAUUUAGUUUUAGUAAUUAAGAUAAAAUAUAAAAUUUUUAAAUUUUAAGUUUUAACUUUUAAAUUU
Molecule: long non-coding RNA, 355 nt
Filed under: Ananas comosus (pineapple)
Lineage: Eukaryota; Viridiplantae; Streptophyta; Magnoliopsida; Poales; Bromeliaceae
Description: long non-coding RNA (ACOM_LNC010345)
Source: RNAcentral